Molecule: ribosomal RNA, 775 nt
Filed under: uncultured Neocallimastigales
Lineage: Eukaryota; Fungi; Neocallimastigomycota; Neocallimastigomycetes; Neocallimastigales
Description: partial large subunit ribosomal RNA
Rfam family: Eukaryotic large subunit ribosomal RNA
Source: RNAcentral
UAUGUGAUCGUCUCUCGCAUAUCAAUAAGCGGAGGAAAAGAAACUAACAAGGAUUCCCCUAGUAACGGCGAGUGAAGCGGGAAGAGCUCAAAUUUGAAAUCUUAAAGGGUUUCCCUUUACGAAUCGUAGUUUAAAGAAGUGUUUUCUGUUGAGGUUUUGGUAAAAGUUCUUUGGAAUAGGACAUCAUAGAGGGUGAGAAUCCCGUAUUUGACCUUUACUUUCAACUUUGUGAUACACUUUCAAAGAGUCGGAUUGUUUGGGAAUGCAGUCCAAAAUGGGUGGUAAAUUUCAUCUAAAGCUAAAUAUUGGCGAGAGACCGAUAGCGAACAAGUACCGUGAGGGAAAGAUGAAAAGAACUUUGAAAAGAGAGUUAAAACAGUACGUGAAAUUGUCAAAAGGGAAGCGUUUGACACCAGUGUUGUUUUUCUGAAAAUCAAUUAAAGAACUGUUUAUGCUAAGUUGUUUAGACUUUAUCAGCUAACUGUUUAGUUUUGAGCUUUUCUUUAAUGCACUUUUCAGUUAACAAGUCAACAUCAAUUUCUUUUGCUGUAAAAAAGCUUGAGGAAGGUGGCUUGAGAUUCGUCUUAAGUGUUUAUAGCCUCUUGCCUAUGCAGUCGGAGAGAUUGAGGUCUGCAGCGUAGAUCCUUCGGGGCUAAAUGCAUUUGUGCUAAGUUAUAGCAUUUUAUAGACAACUUGUUGACUAUGAUUUGUCUUGUAGCUUACUCGCUUAUGUUAUUUUACCUACGCUUAGGAUGUUGAUCUACAGAGCGAGAGU